Non-coding RNA from Tachysurus fulvidraco (yellow catfish), 1186 nucleotides. Lineage: Eukaryota; Metazoa; Chordata; Actinopteri; Siluriformes; Bagridae. The record is from the annotation of a RefSeq genome assembly.
GCUGGAGAACACACACACACACACAAUUAGGUUAAUGUGAAUGUGAUCUCUAUCAUACUGAACAUGGUGAUAUUUGGUCAUUCAUUGUAACGGCUGUACAGCAGAUGCAGUAGUUUAUCUGCACAUCAUACAACAGAACACAAUUCUGAUAAAGUCAUCCAACCAAACUGCAGCUGAAUAUAAUCUCCAUCUGAUUCCACAAGUAAAAUCCACACAAUAACUCUGUAGUAGUGUGAGAAUGACAGUAAGAUUGGGGAAAUGUGGUAAAGGUGUUUCCAUACUUAGAGGACACUUUGCAUUGGCAGCACAUGCUUCAGUGAUCUGGGAGUGUUUAUAGUGCUGUGACUUUAACACUUCAUGACUGAGAGCUGCUGCUACAGCAACUUCACCCACAGCUACCAUGACUUUGAUCCCCGUCUUCAUCUGGACACUGAUCCUCUGGACUCAAGAAUGCAGAGGUCAAGUCACAGUAACUCAGACUCCUGCAGUGAAAUCUGUUCUUCCAGGAGAAACAGUCACCAUCAACUGUAAAACCAGUCAGGCAGUGCAUGGUGGUAACUACUUAUUCUGGUAUCAGCAGAAACCUGGAGAAGCUCCUAAAUUCUUGAUUAAGCUCGCAAAUCAGAGACAGUCAGAUUUUCCAGCUCGUUUCAGUGGCAGUGGAUCUGGAUCUGAUUUCACUCUGACCAUCAGUGGAGUCCAGACUGAAGAUGCAGGAGAUUACUACUGUCAGAGUUACCAUUCAAUCACUGGCUACUGGUUCACACAGUGUUAUAGAGUCGUACAAAAACCUCCCUCAGUCAGAUUGUAGAGAGACUGAACUGCUGCAGCUGGGAGCGACUGCAGGUGCUGAGUUGGAGGAUGUGAUACGACACAAUGACACUCUGUGGAGGAGAAGAACCACAUCACACUAACUCACAACUCACAUUAGAGAUCUCUCAAUAAUCAUGAAUAUAUGAAAGCUGAGUAUUUAUUUUGUUUUUUUCCAUCAAAUACAUUCAAAGCAGACAGAUUUAUGAUUAGAACUGAAGGUCUUUAUCAGUCUUUUGACACAAUAGUUUUUUCAUUUUUCUGAAAAAAAUCUUGAUCACAGGUCUGAUAUAUCUGUCUUAGACCAAACCAAACCAAAUGAAUACAAGAUUGAUCUUUUUCUUCUUUCGGCUUUUCCCUUCAGGGGUCGCCACAG